GAUGAACGCUGGCGGCGUGCCUAAUACAUGCAAGUCGAGCGAACGGACGAGAAGCUUGCUUCUCUGAUGUUAGCGGCGGACGGGUGAGUAACACGUGGAUAACCUACCUAUAAGACUGGGAUAACUUCGGGAAACCGGAGCUAAUACCGGAUAAUAUUUUGAACCGCAUGGUUCAAAAGUGAAAGACGGUCUUGCUGUCACUUAUAGAUGGAUCCGCGCUGCAUUAGCUAGUUGGUAAGGUAACGGCUUACCAAGGCAACGAUGCAUAGCCGACCUGAGAGGGUGAUCGGCCACACUGGAACUGAGACACGGUCCAGACUCCUACGGGAGGCAGCAGUAGGGAAUCUUCCGCAAUGGGCGAAAGCCUGACGGAGCAACGCCGCGUGAGUGAUGAAGGUCUUCGGAUCGUAAAACUCUGUUAUUAGGGAAGAACAUACGUGUAAGUAACUGUGCACAUCUUGACGGUACCUAAUCAGAAAGCCACGGCUAACUACGUGCCAGCAGCCGCGGUAAUACGUAGGUGGCAAGCGUUAUCCGGAAUUAUUGGGCGUAAAGCGCGCGUAGGCGGUUUUUUAAGUCUGAUGUGAAAGCCCACGGCUCAACCGUGGAGGGUCAUUGGAAACUGGAAAACUUGAGUGCAGAAGAGGAAAGUGGAAUUCCAUGUGUAGCGGUGAAAUGCGCAGAGAUAUGGAGGAACACCAGUGGCGAAGGCGACUUUCUGGUCUGUAACUGACGCUGAUGUGCGAAAGCGUGGGGAUCAAACAGG
This 766-nucleotide ribosomal RNA is filed under the name Staphylococcus aureus. RNAcentral's name for it is "bacterial SSU rRNA". It matches the Rfam family "Bacterial small subunit ribosomal RNA", at positions 28 to 776 of the family's 1533-position model. The record is from RNAcentral. Lineage: Bacteria; Bacillati; Bacillota; Bacilli; Caryophanales; Staphylococcaceae.